Molecule: long non-coding RNA, 130 nt
Organism: Diprion similis
Lineage: Eukaryota; Metazoa; Arthropoda; Insecta; Hymenoptera; Diprionidae
Exons: 2
Source: RefSeq, a predicted model, not a curated record
AAUAUUUCAUACAAUUUUACUUCAUUCGGUAAUGUAUUUGCCUCGUUUUUAUUUAUUUCUUUCUUUCUCUCCUCCCUGUUUAAAUUCAACGAUUAAUUAACAAACUAUUCGAUUAUUCUCCUGAGCCCAC